GAUGAAGAACGCAUCGAAAUGCGAUAAGUAAUGCGAAUUGCAGAAUUUCCGUGAGUCAUCGAAUCUUUGAACGCACAUUGCGCCCACUGGUAUUCCGGUGGGCAUGCCUGUUCGAGCGUCAUUAUCCUCCCUCAAACCUCGGGUUUGGUGUUGGACCCAAGUUGUGUGAACAACUGGUCUUAAAGACAAUGACGGCGUCCGUGGGACCCUCGGUGCAACGAGCUUUUAGGAGCACGCGUCGAGUUUCAAGGACCUUCCGGGCCGGUCUCCUUUACCAUUUUACAAGGUUGACCUCGGAUCAGGUAGGAAUACCCGCUGAACUUAAGCAUAUCAAUAAGCGGAGGA
Molecule: unclassified non-coding RNA, 345 nt
Filed under: soil metagenome
Description: partial contains 5.8S ribosomal RNA, internal transcribed spacer 2, and large subunit ribosomal RNA
Rfam family: 5.8S ribosomal RNA (bases 1-121)
Source: RNAcentral